AGCGGUAAAAAAAUCGAGUAGAUACAAUUAAAAAUAUUUUGCUCUUACUACCAACAGACACUAUUUUGUCCGAAUACAGCAUGAAUGGUCUAAAGAAAAAAAAAAAGUUUAAAGAAUUGACAAGUCUAUGUAAUGCUGAAACUGCUUUAAAGUCAAAUAAAAACAAAAUGGAUGCCAUCCAUCCAACUUAUUGGGAGAGUAAUUAGGAAUUCUUCUGACCGAUUAAAGAAAACAUCCACUAAUAUGAAUAUCGAUCAAUGAUCGGCUUAA
Non-coding RNA from Hydra vulgaris (swiftwater hydra), 270 nucleotides. The record is from RefSeq and is a predicted model, not a curated record. Lineage: Eukaryota; Metazoa; Cnidaria; Hydrozoa; Anthoathecata; Hydridae.